ACUACGGGCGGCUGCAGUGGGGGAUAUUGCACAAUGGGGGAAACCCUGAUGCAGCGACGCCGCGUGUGGGAAGACGGUCCUCUGGAUUGUAAACCACUGUCCCCAGGGACGAAGAUGACGGUACCUGGGGAGGAAGCUCCGGCUAACUACGUGCCAGCAGCCGCGGUAAUACGUAGGGAGCGAGCGUUGUCCGGAAUUACUGGGUGUAAAGGGAGCGUAGGCGGGACUGCAAGUUGGGUGUCAAAUCUACCGGCUCAACCGGUAGCCGCACUCAAAACUGCAGUUCUUGAGUGAAGUAGAGGCAGGCGGAAUUCCUAGUGUAGCGGUGAAAUGCGUAGAUAUUAGGAGGAACACCAGUGGCGAAGGCGGCCUGCUGGGCUUUUACUGACGCUGAGGCUCGAAAGUGUGGGGAGCAAACAGGAUUAGAUACCCCGGUAGUC
Molecule: ribosomal RNA, 440 nt
Filed under: uncultured bacterium
Lineage: Bacteria
Description: partial 16S ribosomal RNA
Rfam family: Bacterial small subunit ribosomal RNA
Source: RNAcentral